RNAcentral lists this ribosomal RNA (250 nucleotides) under uncultured prokaryote. Its description in RNAcentral is "partial 16S ribosomal RNA". It matches the Rfam family "Bacterial small subunit ribosomal RNA", at positions 525 to 775 of the family's 1533-position model. The record is from RNAcentral.
ACGUAGGGGGCAAGCGUUAUCCGGAAUCACUGGGCGUAAAGGGUGCGUAGGCGGUCGACAAAGUCUGGGGUGAAAGGCUACGGCUCAACCGUAGUAAGCCUUGGAAACUUGUUGACUUGAGUGCAGGAGAGGUAAGUGGAAUUCCUAGUGUAGCGGUGAAAUGCGUAGAUAUUAGGAGGAACACCAGUGGCGAAGGCGACUUACUGGACUGUAACUGACGCUGAGGCACGAAAGCGUGGGGAGCAAACAG